Molecule: unclassified non-coding RNA, 317 nt
Filed under: Hevea brasiliensis (rubber tree)
Lineage: Eukaryota; Viridiplantae; Streptophyta; Magnoliopsida; Malpighiales; Euphorbiaceae
Source: RNAcentral
UUUUAUUGUUGCUUGUGAAGUGAUUUCGGCCAUUGUGAUCCUUAUUGUUGGGGUAUUGCCGUGGGACACUUCUUGGUUGGUUUUGACUUGUUGCCGUGUGAACCUCUUGGUGGUGAGAGUUUGGGUGUCAAGUUGUAGCCGUGAGACUCCUUGGUGGUUGAGGUUGUAGUUGGCAGCCGUGAGUAUCAUUGUUGCUUGUGGUAGUCUUGUUUAAGGUUGGCAUUACAACUUGUGGUAGCCGUGAGGUUCAUUUGGGUGUAAGUGUGGUUGCCGUGAAUUUCUUGGUGUGAAAUUGGUAACUGUGAGAUCCGUGGGAC